Gossypium hirsutum (cotton) is the source of this 106-nucleotide non-coding RNA. The record is from Rfam. NCBI's taxonomy places the organism in Eukaryota, Viridiplantae, Streptophyta, Magnoliopsida, Malvales, Malvaceae.
AAUCCAUUAUGUGGGCAUAUUUUUAUUAGCAUUUUAAAAUGCUCCCAAGCUUUGUGAAAGCUCUCUUCUUCUAAUUGUUUGAACGUUGUGAUCUUUCUCCUCAAUU